CGUAUGUGUGUGUUUAAAAGGUCACAGGUUCGAGAUGUAUAGCAGGGGAAAUUUCCUUUUUAUUUCGAGAUGUAUAGCAGGCGAAUCCUAUUUCCUUUUUAUUUUGUCAUGAAAGGAACUUGGGAAGGAUUUUAUGCCAAAAUAGGACUCAUGGUAGUACCAAUUCGGCUAUAGGCAAUUAAAUGUCGAAAAAGAUUUUAAAAUUUUGGCUUGUAUGGGUUGGUUUUCUUCUUUAUUUAGUUUUGGGUAUUUUUAAGUGUUAGUCGAUUUAGGUUGGGGCCAUUCACAUCUAUUAUUAUUUUUGAGAUCGACCUUCAUUCUUUUUGUUCAUCUUUUCUU
Molecule: long non-coding RNA, 339 nt
Filed under: Gossypium barbadense (sea-island cotton)
Lineage: Eukaryota; Viridiplantae; Streptophyta; Magnoliopsida; Malvales; Malvaceae
Description: long non-coding RNA (GBAR_LNC007255)
Source: RNAcentral